This 253-nucleotide ribosomal RNA is filed under the name uncultured bacterium. RNAcentral describes it as "partial 16S ribosomal RNA". It matches the Rfam family "Bacterial small subunit ribosomal RNA", at positions 524 to 776 of the family's 1533-position model. The record is from RNAcentral.
UACGAAGGUCCCAAGCGUUGUUCGGAAUUACUGGGCGUAAAGCGUGUGUAGGCGGUUGGGUAAGUCAGAUGUGAAAUCCCGGGGCUCAACCCCGGAACUGCAUCCGAUACUGCCUGACUAGAGGACUGGAGGGGAGUCUGGAAUUCUCGGUGUAGCAGUGAAAUGCGUAGAUAUCGAGAGGAACACUAGUGGCGAAGGCGAGACUCUGGACAGAUCCUGACGCUGAGACACGAAGGCUAGGGUAGCGAACGGG